AGAAGAUAAGCUAAAUGGUUAAGCAUUUGAUUUGAGAUCUUAGUAAUAUGGGUUCGAUUCCCGUAUCUUCUU
Babesia microti strain RI is the source of this 72-nucleotide transfer RNA. It matches the Rfam family "tRNA". Rfam says of the family: Transfer RNA (tRNA) molecules are approximately 80 nucleotides in length. Their secondary structure includes four short double-helical elements and three loops (D, anti-codon, and T loops). The record is from Rfam. NCBI's taxonomy places the organism in Eukaryota, Apicomplexa, Aconoidasida, Piroplasmida, Babesiidae.